This 301-nucleotide ribosomal RNA is filed under the name uncultured bacterium. RNAcentral describes it as "partial 16S ribosomal RNA". It matches the Rfam family "Bacterial small subunit ribosomal RNA", at positions 509 to 807 of the family's 1533-position model. The record is from RNAcentral.
CAGUAACCGCGGGAAUACGUAGGGUGCGAGCGUUAAUCGGAAUUACUGGGCGUAAAGCGUGCGCAGGCGGUUCGUUAAGACAGAUGUGAAAUCCCCGGGCUUAACCUGGGAACUGCAUUUGUGACUGACGGGCUAGAGUAUGGCAGAGGGGGGUAGAAUUCCACGUGUAGCAGUGAAAUGCGUAGAGAUGUGGAGGAAUACCGAUGGCGAAGGCAGCCCCCUGGGCCAAUACUGACGCUCAUGCACGAAAGCGUGGGGAGCAAACAGGAUUAGAUACCCCCGUAGUCCCUGUCUCUUAUAC